Molecule: ribosomal RNA, 221 nt
Filed under: uncultured Methanosaeta sp.
Lineage: Archaea; Methanobacteriati; Methanobacteriota; Methanomicrobia; Methanotrichales; Methanotrichaceae
Description: partial 16S ribosomal RNA
Rfam family: Archaeal small subunit ribosomal RNA
Source: RNAcentral
GGAAGGAAAGGGAAUGGGCAACGGUAGGUCAGUAUGCCCCGAAUAUCCCGGGCUACACGCGAGCUACAAUGGUUGGUACAAUGGGUAUCUACCCCGAAAGGGGACGGAAAUCUCCUAAAACCAAUCUUAGUUCGGAUUGAGGGCUGCAACUCGCCCUCAUGAAGCUGGAAUCCGUAGUAAUCGCGUUUCAACAGAACGCGGUGAAUACGUCCCUGCUCCUU